Molecule: ribosomal RNA, 497 nt
Filed under: uncultured bacterium
Lineage: Bacteria
Description: partial 16S ribosomal RNA
Rfam family: Bacterial small subunit ribosomal RNA
Source: RNAcentral
GAUGAACGCUGGCGGCGUGCCUAAUACAUGCAAGUCGAGCGAACGGACGAGAAGCUUGCUUCUCUGAUGUUAGCGGCGGACGGGUGAGUAACACGUGGAUAACCUACCUAUAAGGCUGGGAUAACUUCGGGAAACCGGAGCUAAUACCGGAUAAUAUUUUGAACCGCAUGGUUCAAAAGUGAAAGACGGUCUUGCUGUCACUUAUAGAUGGAUCCGCGCUGCAUUAGCUAGUUGGUAAGGUAACGGCUUACCAAGGCAACGAUGCAUAGCCGACCUUAGAGGGUGAUCGGCCACAAUGGAACUGAGACACGGUCCAGACUCCUACGGGAGGCAGCAGUAGGGAAUCUUCCGCAAUGGGCGAAAGCCUGACGGAGCAACGCCGCGUGAGUGAUGAAGGUCUUCGGAUCUUAAAACUCUGUUAUUAGGGAAGAACAUAUGUGUAAGUAACUGUGCACAUCUUGACGGUACCUAAUCAGAAAGCCACGGCUAACUACGUG